UGGGCGUUAAGUUGCAGGGUAUAGACCCGAAACCCGGUGAUCUAGCCAUGGGCAGGUUGAAGGUUGGGUAACACUAACUGGAGGACCGAACCGACUAAUGUUGAAAAAUUAGCGGAUGACCUGUGGCUGGGGGUGAAAGGCCAAUCAAACCGGGAGAUAGCUGGUUCUCCCCGAAAGCUAUUUAGGUAGCGCCUCGUGAAUUCAUCUCCGGGGGUAGAGCACUGUUUCGGCUAGGGGGCCAUCCCGGCUUACCAACCCGAUGCAAACUGCGAAUACCGGAGAAUGUUAUCACGGGAGACACACGGCGGGUGCUAACGUCCGUCGUGAAGAGGGAAACAACCCAGACCGCCAGCUAAGGUCCCAAAGUCAUGGUUAAGUGGGAAACGAUGUGGGAAGGCCCAGACAGCCAGGAUGUUGGCUUAGAAGCAGCCAUCAUUUAAAGAAAGCGUAAUAGCUCACUGGUCGAGUCGGCCUGCGCGGAAGAUGUAACGGGGCUAAACCAUGCACCGAAGCUGCGGCAGCGACGCUGAUGCGU
Molecule: ribosomal RNA, 535 nt
Filed under: Salmonella enterica
Lineage: Bacteria; Pseudomonadati; Pseudomonadota; Gammaproteobacteria; Enterobacterales; Enterobacteriaceae
Description: partial 23S ribosomal RNA
Rfam family: Bacterial large subunit ribosomal RNA
Source: RNAcentral